RNAcentral lists this ribosomal RNA (443 nucleotides) under uncultured bacterium. RNAcentral describes it as "partial 16S ribosomal RNA". It matches the Rfam family "Bacterial small subunit ribosomal RNA", at positions 338 to 795 of the family's 1533-position model. The record is from RNAcentral.
CCUACGGGUGACAGCAGUGGGGAAUAUUGGGCAAUGGAGGCAACUCUGACCCAGCAACGCCGCGUGAAUGAUGAAGGUCUUCGGAGUGUAAAGUUCUUUUCUAAGGGAAGAAGAAAGUGACGGUACCAUAGGAAUAAGCCUCGGCUAACUACGUGCCAGCAGCCGCGGUAAGACGUAGGAGGCAAGCGUUAUCCGGAAUGACUGGGCGUACCGGGUGCGUAGGUGGUUUGACAAGUUCGUAGCGCAACUCCGGAGCUCAACUUCGGAACUCCUACUCAAACUGUUGGACUUGAGUGCAGGCGGGGCAAUCUGCUUUCCUUUUGUAGCGGUGUCAUUCGUAUCUAUUAGGCGGCUCACCAGUGGCGAAGGCGGCUUGCUAGACUGUAACUGCCCCUGCGGCACGACCGCGUGCGGAGCACACAGGAUUAGCUACCCUAGUAUUC